GAUGUAGCUUAGUUGGUUAAAGCGCCAGAUUGUGGCUCUGGAGACCGUGGGUUCGAGUCCCAUCUUC
Molecule: transfer RNA, 67 nt
Filed under: uncultured Anaeromassilibacillus sp.
Lineage: Bacteria; Bacillati; Bacillota; Clostridia; Eubacteriales; Acutalibacteraceae
Rfam family: tRNA
About the family: Transfer RNA (tRNA) molecules are approximately 80 nucleotides in length. Their secondary structure includes four short double-helical elements and three loops (D, anti-codon, and T loops).
Source: RNAcentral